UUGUGAGGUUAAGCGACUAAGCGUACACGGUGGAUGCCCUGGCAGUCAGAGGCGAUGAAGGACGUGCUAAUCUGCGAUAAGCGUCGGUGAGGUGAUAUGAACCGUUAUAACCGGCGAUUUCCGAAUGGGGAAACCCAGUGUGUUUCGACACACUAUCAUUAACUGAAUCCAUAGGUUAAUGAGGCGAACCGGGGGAACUGAAACAUCUAAGUACCCCGAGGAAAAGAAAUCAACCGAGAUUCCCCCAGUAGCGGCGAGCGAACGGGGAGGAGCCCAGAGCCUGAAUCAGUGUGUGUGUUAGUGGAAGCGUCUGGAAAGGCGCGCGAUACAGGGUGACAGCCCCGUACACAAAAAUGCACAUAUUGUGAGCUCGAUGAGUAGGGCGGGACACGUGGUAUCCUGUCUGAAUAUGGGGGGACCAUCCUCCAAGGCUAAAUACUCCUGACUGACCGAUAGUGAACCAGUACCGUGAGGGAAAGGCGAAAAGAACCCCGGCGAGGGGAGUGAAAAAGAACCUGAAACCGUGUACGUACAAGCAGUGGGAGCCUCUUUAUGGGGUGACUGCGUACCUUUUGUAUAAUGGGUCAGCGACUUAUAUUCUGUAGCAAGGUUAACCGAAUAGGGGAGCCGAAGGGAAACCGAGUCUUAACUGGGCGUUAAGUUGCAGGGUAUAGACCCGAAACCCGGUGAUCUAGCCAUGGGCAGGUUGAAGGUUGGGUAACACUAACUGGAGGACCGAACCGACUAAUGUUGAAAAAUUAGCGGAUGACUUGUGGCUGGGGGUGAAAGGCCAAUCAAACCGGGAGAUAGCUGGUUCUCCCCGAAAGCUAUUUAGGUAGCGCCUCGUGAAUUCAUCUCCGGGGGUAGAGCACUGUUUCGGCAAGGGGGUCAUCCCGACUUACCAACCCGAUGCAAACUGCGAAUACCGGAGAAUGUUAUCACGGGAGACACACGGCGGGUGCUAACGUCCGUCGUGAAGAGGGAAACAACCCAGACCGCCAGCUAAGGUCCCAAAGUCAUGGUUAAGUGGGAAACGAUGUGGGAAGGCCCAGACAGCCAGGAUGUUGGCUUAGAAGCAGCCAUCAUUUAAAGAAAGCGUAAUAGCUCACUGGUCGAGUCGGCCUGCGCGGAAGAUGUAACGGGGCUAAACCAUGCACCGAAGCUGCGGCAGCGACACUAUGUGUUGUUGGGUAGGGGAGCGUUCUGUAAGCCUGUGAAGGUGGCCUGUGAGGGUUGCUGGAGGUAUCAGAAGUGCGAAUGCUGACAUAAGUAACGAUAAAGCGGGUGAAAAGCCCGCUCGCCGGAAGACCAAGGGUUCCUGUCCAACGUUAAUCGGGGCAGGGUGAGUCGACCCCUAAGGCGAGGCCGAAAGGCGUAGUCGAUGGGAAACAGGUUAAUAUUCCUGUACUUGGUGUUACUGCGAAGGGGGGACGGAGAAGGCUAUGUUGGCCGGGCGACGGUUGUCCCGGUUUAAGCGUGUAGGCUGGUUUUCCAGGCAAAUCCGGAAAACCAAGGCUGAGGCGUGAUGACGAGGCACUACGGUGCUGAAGCGACAAAUGCCCUGCUUCCAGGAAAAGCCUCUAAGCAUCAGGUAACAUCAAAUCGUACCCCAAACCGACACAGGUGGUCAGGUAGAGAAUACCAAGGCGCUUGAGAGAACUCGGGUGAAGGAACUAGGCAAAAUGGUGCCGUAACUUCGGGAGAAGGCACGCUGAUAUGUAGGUGAAGCGACUUGCUCGUGGAGCUGAAAUCAGUCGAAGAUACCAGCUGGCUGCAACUGUUUAUUAAAAACACAGCACUGUGCAAACACGAAAGUGGACGUAUACGGUGUGACGCCUGCCCGGUGCCGGAAGGUUAAUUGAUGGGGUUAGCGGUAACGCGAAGCUCUUGAUCGAAGCCCCGGUAAACGGCGGCCGUAACUAUAACGGUCCUAAGGUAGCGAAAUUCCUUGUCGGGUAAGUUCCGACCUGCACGAAUGGCGUAAUGAUGGCCAGGCUGUCUCCACCCGAGACUCAGUGAAAUUGAACUCGCUGUGAAGAUGCAGUGUACCCGCGGCAAGACGGAAAGACCCCGUGAACCUUUACUAUAGCUUGACACUGAACAUUGAGCCUUGAUGUGUAGGAUAGGUGGGAGGCUUUGAAGUGUGGACGCCAGUCUGCAUGGAGCCGACCUUGAAAUACCACCCUUUAAUGUUUGAUGUUCUAACGUUGGCCCGUAAUCCGGGUUGCGGACAGUGUCUGGUGGGUAGUUUGACUGGGGCGGUCUCCUCCUAAAGAGUAACGGAGGAGCACGAAGGUUGGCUAAUCCUGGUCGGACAUCAGGAGGUUAGUGCAAUGGCAUAAGCCAGCUUGACUGCGAGCGUGACGGCGCGAGCAGGUGCGAAAGCAGGUCAUAGUGAUCCGGUGGUUCUGAAUGGAAGGGCCAUCGCUCAACGGAUAAAAGGUACUCCGGGGAUAACAGGCUGAUACCGCCCAAGAGUUCAUAUCGACGGCGGUGUUUGGCACCUCGAUGUCGGCUCAUCACAUCCUGGGGCUGAAGUAGGUCCCAAGGGUAUGGCUGUUCGCCAUUUAAAGUGGUACGCGAGCUGGGUUUAGAACGUCGUGAGACAGUUCGGUCCCUAUCUGCCGUGGGCGCUGGAGAACUGAGGGGGGCUGCUCCUAGUACGAGAGGACCGGAGUGGACGCAUCACUGGUGUUCGGGUUGUCAUGCCAAUGGCACUGCCCGGUAGCUAAAUGCGGAAGAGAUAAGUGCUGAAAGCAUCUAAGCACGAAACUUGCCCCGAGAUGAGUUCUCCCUGAGACUUAGAGUCUCCUGAAGGAACGUUGAAGACGACGACGUUGAUAGGCCGGGUGUGUAAGCGCAGCGAUGCGUUGAGCUAACCGGUACUAAUGAACCGUGAGGCUUAACCUUACAAC
RNAcentral lists this ribosomal RNA (2915 nucleotides) under Escherichia coli. Its description in RNAcentral is "partial 23S ribosomal RNA". It matches the Rfam family "Bacterial large subunit ribosomal RNA". The record is from RNAcentral. Lineage: Bacteria; Pseudomonadati; Pseudomonadota; Gammaproteobacteria; Enterobacterales; Enterobacteriaceae.